CAGAAAUUGUUUUCACCCGUGUCUACUGAGACGGAAAACACCUCAAUUGGGCAGCCUGGUCCUCAGGAGGGGCAUGAAUAAGCACUUGCUUCUCCUCGUGGGGUUCGUCCAGCAGCCUGGUGUGCACACAGGUAAGAACUAGAACGUAGGUGGCCUGCCUGCACACUCACCAGGGCUCCCCCUGCCAGCUUUGUGGCAUCGUGGGGGAUCUUCUGUUUAGCGGGCUGGGUGUUAUUGUGACCUCUCUCCUUCUGCUUUCAAUUAAGCUACUGCAAGUCAAGAGACAGCAGCCACUGGACCAAAAUCUAAGAAGUGAUUUGCCCCGGGUCACACAGUUAUUUAGCGAAAGAGUCCAUCUGGACAAGAUUCCUUCCCAUAAACCAAAGCAGGUAAGGUGGGGUGAAUGAGAGAGAGGGUGAAGGGAGGGACUGAAGUUUAUAAGGGCUGCGUGAAAAGGGGAGGCUUUGAGACAGAAUUGAUAGACCGUGUUUCAGUGGCUCAGCUGUCCCCUCCCGCUUCUGGCUUCAUUUCCCUCCGAGCCCCUCUUUACUCUGAGUUUCCGUCUGGGCAAGUCCUGAGCUUCUGGAAUGUGUCUUCGCCUUCCUUAUCUGGGAGCUAAUCACUAAAUAGCAGGUGGUGAAGAUUCUGUUUUUCAUCUCUCUUGUUCUGUCCUCUCUUUUACUCAUUUCCUCAGGGCUGUGAAUUUCUGAAUCCCAAGCAGGAAACCUCCCUGAUGUGUUCACACCUGGAACAUCACUCUCUCUUUGUUUGGAGAGGAUGGAAAGGUGCAGGGAGGAUCAAGACAAAAGGCUGUUUUCUAAAGAAGGAAGAGAGAUGUCAGCAUUUAAAUAGUAAUGCACACACUCCAUGAAGAUGUAUGCACACACAUUUUUUUUUUUUAACCCAGCACUCUUUCUUUCAACUCCUACAUUUCCCUACAUGUCUCCACUCCAGUCAACAUCUUAUAAGACAAAGAGUGUUUACUGGGUGUCACUUCAGUUAUCAACACUCCACACAAAUCGGUUGACAGAGGAAAUGCGCAAAGAACGUUUGCAAGCCUGUUUGGGGUUGAAAUAACAACCAGACUACCUGGAGGCUCACAGAGAUUAGCUUACCUUUUGCUCCUACAAAUGUAAGAAACUGGCUCUUGAAAGAAGCUGUCAUCAAUGUCCCUCUCUCCGUGGGUGUUGGGGAGUUCCAGCCUUUCUGAACGGUGCACUCUGUCCUCUUCAUGGACCUACCAUUUUGGAAGGGACUUCGGGAGGUCAACUAGCACAGGCUCCCACCUGUAGUUAUCAUUUGUCCAGGUGGUUGUGGUCUACUGAACAUAAACUCCCUGUGGGGAAAAGGGAACAAAAUACUGGAUGCAAAGAUGUAAAUCUGAAUCCACAGUUUCCGGUCUGUGGGCUCCCAUAGUUGGGGGCGCCAUAUUUGCGUGAAUCAGUACCUACGGACUGGCUAAAUAGUAUGACUCAUGUACAUAUACUCUGACACUUCUAUUGUAUUUAUUGAUUCAGUCUACAGAUAUACAGAAGGUGCCUACUUUGUGCCGGGAACUGUGCUGGGUGCUGAAAUAUACAACAGAUGGUGGACAAGUCAAACCAACUCUGCCCCUGUGGUAGGUAUUUCUGGUCCAGUGGUGAAGACAGGCACAGAGAGUUGCAGAAGGAAAGCAGUAACUCAACUUUGGGAUAGUAUAUUAAAGAGGUUGUGAUUACCAGCAUUCAAAUUACUUUAAAGGUGAUGGCCCCUGCCAUUAAGCAUUUGUUCUAUCAAUGCAUUUCUCAAAUGCGAGUACCUUUAUCUGCAGGUCUAUAAAUGUUUUUAGAUGGAAAAUGUGCCUCCAUACUAAAAAUACUUGGACACCACUGACCUAAAUCAUCCCCAAGAGAUGCCUUUUCUAUCCCAGAUGAAUGAAUUAAAUAGCAAGAAGUGAUAUUCCAUCAAUAUUCCAGCGACUCCCAGCUGGACAAUUCUUUCUUAGAUUUGAGCUUGUGUUGCUUCAUGGAAAGUUAAUCUCAAUUUUCUCUGAACCCCCAUCAUCCAGGAAUGCUACCUCUCUGGAGAGCCCUGGAGAAAUCAAGAAAGUACACAUGCAUUUGGUCAUAGAUUCCACCUCCACAGAGGGCAGAGAGGGGCCCCACCUGUCCCCUUGACUUGGGUGAGGUGGGAGGCACGGUCUCGUGGUUGAUUUCGGUAUGCUAUGGAAUAGCAGACCUGGAGCCACGGGACAUGACUUGUUGCUCUAUUAGACACGCUAGAUAAUCUCCUGAAACAAAGAAAUAAAGCAGUGAUUCGAUGGGAGGAUUUUCCUGUCAAGAAUUAUGAAUGCCGAAGUAACCCAGAAAAUAUAGCUGUAUUUGAACAGGGCCAGGCAAGAUAAUGGACAAGAAGACCUGUUAAAUGUGAGGUCCCAUUUAAAUCGAAAUGAUCCACCAAAUCUCAGCUCCCAGGGGGGUCUCUGUUUGUGCAUUCCAGGGUAGAAACACUACAGGGACACUUUUGGCGUGUGAUGGGCACUGAACCUACAAAUAGCAAUAAAAGAUGGCCUUUCAAGUGGCUUCCUUCGGUAAAUAAAAGGUAAAUAAACAGCAAUGCUCAUUUAGAAGAUAACUAAGGGGCGCCCCAGUGGCUCAGUCAGUUAAGCAUCUGACCUCAGGUCAGGUCAUGAUCUCAUGGUUCAUGAGUUCGAGCCCCGCGACAGGCUCUGUGCUGACAGCUAGGAGCCUGGAGCCUGCUAUGGAUUCUGUGUCUCCCUCUCUCUCUGCCCCUCCCCCACUCACACUCUGUCUCUCUCUCAAAAAUAAAUAUUUUUUUUUAAAAAAGAUAACUAUCAUGCCGGUCAGAGUGGCUAAAAUGAACAAAUCAGGAGACUCUAGAUGCUGGAGAGGAUGUGGAGAAACGGGAACCCUCUUGCACUGUUGGUGGGAAUGCAAAUUGGUGCAGCCACUCUGGAAAACAGUGUGGAGGUGCCUCAAAAAAUUAAAAAUAGAGCUACCCUAUGACCCAGCAAUAGCACUGCUAGGAAUUUACCCAAGGGAUACAGGAGUGCUGAUGCAUAGGGGCACUUGUACCCCAAUGUUUAUAGCAGCUCUUUCAACAAUAGCCAAAUUAUGGAAAGAGCCUAAAUGUCCAUCAACUGACGAAUGGAUAAAGAAGAUGUGGUUUAUACACACAAUGGAACACUACGUGGCAAUGAGAAAGAAUGAAAUCUGGCAACAUUUGCAGCAACGUGGAUGGAACUGGAAGGUAUUAUGCUGAGUGAAAUAAGUCAGGCAGAGAAAGACAGAUGCCAUAUGUUUUCACUCAAAUGUGGAUCCUGAGAAACUUAACAGAGAACCACGGGGGAAGGAAAGAGGGGUUGGGGGGAGUUAUAGAGAGGGAAGGAGGAAAACCAUAAUAGACUCUUGAAUUACAGAGAACAAACUGAGGGCUGAUGGGGGGCGGGAGGGAGGGGAAAGUGGGUGAUGGGCAUGGAGGAGGGCCCCUGUUGGGAUGAGCACUGGGUGACGUAUGGAAACCAAUUUGACGAUGAAUUAUAUUAUAAGAAAAUUAUUUAAUUAUGAAAAAAUUUUAAAAAUAAUAAUAAAAAAUUUUUAAAAGAUAACUAAACAGUACUUUAGAUUUUGUGACAGCAGGCAGAAGAGCAACAUGGGGGGGGGGGGCAAGCCAUUGUGCAGAGAGCAGUAGGCUUUGAGUCAAGAGACUGGACUUUACCCAGGUUCUAUGUCAGACUGACUUUUGGCAAAGUAAGACUCAGCUUCCACUCAGUUUCCUGACGCAUGAAAUGACAAAGGUUGCUCCCGGCGCCCCGUGCUCUGACUCCGGGUCCCCUACCAGAAAGGGCUUCUUAUAAAGAUCACCUUAACUUGACAGGCCACAACUGUCCUUCCUACGAACUUCGCACAGCAGGACAGAAGCUCCACCUGUUUGCAUGAGGCCUGGGUUGUGGGAUAAGGGAUUUCCUGAUGGAACCCCAAGAGUCUGUAUCGUCACAUCCUCCCCAGUGAGCCCAUGAGGAAGUGUACCAAAAAGCCACAGGGUGAGAACAGUUUGGGGGCAGCCGUAAGAACAGGUUGUGUUUAUUUAGGGGCUGGAAAUGUAAAUGCACGUAUCAAACGCCUCCCCCACACCACCCACACCGCCCCUACCAUGGUUACCAAAAAAAAAAGAAAAGAAAAAGAAAAAGAAAAAGAAAAAAGGACACAGCGGAUCUUUGGCACAGUUAGGCCUUGCCCAUUUUCAGCUCUGGUCUUUCUCUGAGGUAAUAUCUUUAUCUGCUGCCCGCCAGACCUGUUUGUUGGUGCAGGUAAGUUUUGCUUCCUUCUGACUCACCAUAGCUUGCUUGGCGGCAGUGAACCCGGAAGCCGCUGUUUCCUGAUGAUCUUUGGCCUACUUCUUCCGAGAUGCCGUGGGGCAGUCAUGGCACCCUGGGCGGUGGGUUGACUUUCCCUCAGUCAAAAGCCUUUGGCACGGCCACCUCCUGGUACCCCCGAAGCCCUGCUGAGAAGUCACGGUGGAGAAGUGCCAGGAAACGCCUCCCACACUCUGUUAAUUACACAAGGGACUUUUAAAAGUAAAAACUGGGUACCCAAAGCCCCCAGGAAGUACCAUACGAGCCACGACCUCCAAAAUGAACCAGUUAAGGAGGUCCAGCACAGCGGAAGAGGGCUUGCAUUUCGAAGUUAGAUAAACCCCAGUUGGACCAACCUUAGUGCAACAUGGAACUCGUUAAUAGUUCCACCUGCCUUGCUGUUUUGCAGUUCCACGCCUCAAUUGUGCUGCCUCCGCUUUCUGGAAUGCUCUGCCCCACCCCACGGCCUCUCUUCACGGAACUACCUCCCGCUUAUCGUCCGCAGUUCAAACACCACCUCCUCCAGGAAGUCCACCCUGCACAUCCCCAGCUGCAUUAGAUGCCCCUCUUGGUACUUAGCCUCAUGCCCCAUGUACGGCUGUCAUUGCACUUACCAUAUUGUUGUAUAAUUGCUAUCUUCCGCUCCUACGCUGAAUUUCUUCUUGGCCAGAACCAACACAUUUUAUUCAUCUUUGUUCUCUCCGUAGCUCAAUGCAUAACUUAGUAUGUUCAUUAAAUAAA
This 5095-nucleotide long non-coding RNA is filed under the name Lynx pardinus (Iberian lynx). Lineage: Eukaryota; Metazoa; Chordata; Mammalia; Carnivora; Felidae. The record is from RNAcentral.